GAUGAAGAACGUAGCGAAAUGCGAUAAGUAAUGUGAAUUGCAGAAUUCAGUGAAUCAUCGAAUCUUUGAACGCAUCUUGCGCUCCUUGGUAUUCUGAGGAGCAUGCCUGUUUGAGUGUCAUUAAAUUCUCACCUACACUGACUUUGAAUUGGUGUGGCUUGGAUUUGGGGGGAAAAUUGUUGUGGGCUUUUUGUAUAGUCUGCUCCCCUGAAAUUGAUUAGCGGUACCUUUGUGGAACUGUCUACAGGUGUGAUAAUUAUCUACAUCUUAGACAUCUGCUGGAAUGCUGCUUUCUAAACCUUACUUGUAUUGACAAUCUUGACCUCAAAUCAGGUAGGACUACCCGCUGAACUUAAGCAUAUCAAUAAGCGGAGGA
This 376-nucleotide unclassified non-coding RNA is filed under the name soil metagenome. Its description in RNAcentral is "partial contains 5.8S ribosomal RNA, internal transcribed spacer 2, and large subunit ribosomal RNA". The stretch from base 1 to 120 matches the Rfam family "5.8S ribosomal RNA", at positions 35 to 154 of the family's 154-position model. The record is from RNAcentral.